Molecule: unclassified non-coding RNA, 792 nt
Filed under: uncultured bacterium
Lineage: Bacteria
Description: partial contains 16S ribosomal RNA, 16S-23S ribosomal RNA intergenic spacer, and 23S ribosomal RNA
Rfam family: Bacterial small subunit ribosomal RNA (bases 1-185)
Source: RNAcentral
UCAGCAGCCGCGGUAAUACGUUCCCGGGCCUUGUACACACCGCCCGUCACAUCACGAAAGUCGGUUGCACUAGAAGUCGGUGGGCCAACCCGCAAGGGAGGCAGCCGCCUAAAGUGUGAUCGGUAAUUGGGGUGAAGUCGUAACAAGGUAGCUGUAGGAGAACCUGCGGCUGGAUCACCUCCUUUCUAAGGAGCACCUCCGCUCUCGAUCAAAAGAGAGUCGUGACGGCAUCGCAAGGUGCCAUUAGGUUGCACCCUAGGUCGACAGGAAUCGCGUCGCCCAAGCGACAAACGUUCGGCCUUCUUGAUCUUCCUGUUCAGUUUUCAGAGAGUCGGCUCCCGGGCUCUAUGACAAUCGAACGCUGCGGAAAUGAAGGUGGCUGGCGAAUCGGCUAUCGAUCGACGCGCUGCUCCAAAGGUAAGCGGGCCUAUAGCUCAGUUGGUUAGAGCGCACGCCUGAUAAGCGUGAGGUCGGUAGUUCAAAUCUACCUAGGCCCACCAUUCUCCACGACUGAGUCAUGGGGACUGCCUGCUGCUCGGUUUCAGCAUGUAGUCCUCAUCCCUCAGUCCACUGGAAGCCGGAACCGGGGCUGUAGCUCAGCUGGGAGAGCACCUGCUUUGCAAGCAGGGGGUCGUCGGUUCGAUCCCGAUCAGCUCCACCAAUUUCCGCCAUCGUUCGCGAGUAUCUGCGGUGAGCAUCACCAUGUCGUGCUCAGCGUCGAUCUUCGCGAUCAGCGUUUCUUUGACAAUUGAAUACGGGGGAAGUAGAUAAAGAGAUGCAAGGACUUUUCCU